GUGGGGAAUCUUGCGCAAUGGGCGAAAGCCUGACGCAGCCAUGCCGCGUGAAUGAUGAAGGUCUUAGGAUUGUAAAAUUCUUUCACCGGGGACGAUAAUGACGGUACCCGGAGAAGAAGCUCCGGCUAACUUCGUGCCAGCAGCCGCGGUAAUACGAAGGGGGCUAGCGUUGCUCGGAAUUACUGGGCGUAAAGGGCGCGUAGGCGGACAGCUUAGUCAGAGGUGAAAGCCCAGGGCUCAACCUUGGAAUUGCCUUUGAUACUGGCUGUCUUGAGUUUUGGAGAGGUGAGUGGAACUCCGAGUGUAGAGGUGAAAUUCGUAGAGAUUCGGAAGAACACCAGUGGCGAAGGCGACUCACUGGCCCAAUACUGACGCUGAGGCGCGAAAGCGUGGGGAGCAAACAGGAUUAGAUACCCCAGUAGUCC
RNAcentral lists this ribosomal RNA (425 nucleotides) under uncultured bacterium. RNAcentral describes it as "partial 16S ribosomal RNA". It matches the Rfam family "Bacterial small subunit ribosomal RNA", at positions 354 to 796 of the family's 1533-position model. The record is from RNAcentral.